Molecule: ribosomal RNA, 556 nt
Filed under: uncultured bacterium
Lineage: Bacteria
Description: bacterial SSU rRNA
Rfam family: Bacterial small subunit ribosomal RNA
Source: RNAcentral
ACGGGUGAGUAACGCGUGGGAAUCUACCGUGCCCUGCGGAAUAGCUCCGGAAACUGGAAUUAAUACCGCAUACGCCCUACGGGGGAAAGAUUUAUCGGGGUAUGAUGAGCCCGCGUUGGAUUAGCUAGUUGGUGGGGUAAAGGCCUACCAAGGCGACGAUCCAUAGCUGGUCUGAGAGGAUGAUCAGCCACAUUGGGACUGAGACACGGCCCAAACUCCUACGGGAGGCAGCAGUGGGGAAUAUUGGACAAUGGGCGCAAGCCUGAUCCAGCCAUGCCGCGUGAGUGAUGAAGGCCUUAGGGUUGUAAAGCUCUUUCACCGGAGAAGAUAAUGACGGUAUCCGGAGAAGAAGCCCCGGCUAACUUCGUGCCAGCAGCCGCGGUAAUACGAAGGGGGCUAGCGUUGUUCGGAAUUACUGGGCGUAAAGCGCGCGUAGGCGGAUAUUUAAGUCAGGGGUGAAAUCCCAGAGCUCAACUCUGGAACUGCCUUUGAUGCUGGGUAUCUUGAGUAUGGAAGAGGUAAGUGGAAUUCCGAGUGUAGAGGUGAAAUUCGUAGA